GCAUGGUCUUAGCUUGCUAAGGCCGAUGGCGACCGGCGCACGGGUGAGUAACACGUAUCCAACCUGCCGUCUACUCUUGGACAGCCUUCUGAAAGGAAGAUUAAUACAAGAUGGCAUCAUGAGUCCGCAUGUUCACAUGAUUAAAGGUAUUCCGGUAGACGAUGGGGAUGCGUUCCAUUAGAUAGUAGGCGGGGUAACGGCCCACCUAGUCUUCGAUGGAUAGGGGUUCUGAGAGGAAGGUCCCCCACAUUGGAACUGAGACACGGUCCAAACUCCUACGGGAGGCAGCAGUGAGGAAUAUUGGUCAAUGGGCGAGAGCCUGAACCAGCCAAGUAGCGUGAAGGAUGACUGCCCUAUGGGUUGUAAACUUCUUUUAUAAAGGAAUAAAGUCGGGUAUGCAUACCCGUUUGCAUGUACUUUAUGAAUAAGGAUCGGCUAACUCCGUGCCAGCAGCCGCGGUAAUACGGAGGAUCCGAGCGUUAUCCGGAUUUAUUGGGUUUAAAGGGAGCGUAGAUGGAUGUUUAAGUCAGUUGUGAAAGUUUGCGGCUCAACCGUAAAAUUGCAGUUGAUACUGGAUAUCUUGAGUGCAGUUGAGGCAGGCGGAAUUCGUGGUGUAGCGGUGAAAUGCUUAGAUAUCACGAAGAACUCCGAUUGCGAAGGCAGCCUGCUAAGCUGCAACUGACAUUGAGGCUCGAAAGUGUGGGUAUCAAACAGGAUUA
This 719-nucleotide ribosomal RNA is filed under the name uncultured Bacteroidales bacterium. Its description in RNAcentral is "bacterial SSU rRNA". It matches the Rfam family "Bacterial small subunit ribosomal RNA", at positions 69 to 780 of the family's 1533-position model. Lineage: Bacteria; Pseudomonadati; Bacteroidota; Bacteroidia; Bacteroidales. The record is from RNAcentral.